This 253-nucleotide ribosomal RNA is filed under the name uncultured bacterium. RNAcentral's name for it is "partial 16S ribosomal RNA". It matches the Rfam family "Bacterial small subunit ribosomal RNA", at positions 524 to 776 of the family's 1533-position model. The record is from RNAcentral.
UACGUAGGGCGCAAGCGUUGUCCGGAUUUAUUGGGCGUAAAGAGCUCGUAGGCGGCUUGUUGCGUCGGCUGUGAAAACCCGUGGCUUAACUGCGGGCUUGCAGCUGAUACGGGCGGGCUAGAGUUCGGUAGGGGAGACUGGAAUUCCUGGUGUAGCGGUGAAAUGCGCAGAUAUCAGGAGGAACACCGGUGGCGAAGGCGGGUCUCUGGGCCGGUACUGACGCUGAGGUGCGAAAGCGUGGGGAGCAAACAGG